UACGAAGGGGGCUAGCGUUGUUCGGAAUUACUGGGCGUAAAGCGCACGUAGGCGGGUCGUUAAGUUAGAGGUGAAAUCCCGGGGCUCAACCCCGGAACUGCCUUUGAUACUGGCGAUCUAGAGGUCGAGAGAGGUGAGUGGAAUUCCGAGUGUAGAGGUGAAAUUCGUAGAUAUUCGGAAGAACACCAGUGGCGAAGGCGGCUCACUGGCUCGAUACUGACGCUGAGGUGCGAAAGCGUGGGGAGCAAAC
Molecule: ribosomal RNA, 250 nt
Filed under: uncultured bacterium
Lineage: Bacteria
Description: partial 16S ribosomal RNA
Rfam family: Bacterial small subunit ribosomal RNA
Source: RNAcentral